GGCUAGCUUUCCCCUCGAAUUUUACCAAGUGUUACUUGAUUAAAGCGAACGAAGGCAGUUCGGCUAACCUCUUCUCGCGAUUUGAUCAAGUUAACUUGUAAAAAUUAAUGGACAAGCUCGGAGCAUUUUAAAGCUCGGCUAGCUUUCCCCUCGAAUUUUACCAAGUGUUACUUGAUUAAAGCGAACGAAGGCAGUUCGGCUAACCCCUUCUCGCGAUUUGAUCAAGUUAACUUGUAAAAAUUAAUGGACAAGCUCGGAGCAUCGUAAAGCUCGGCUAGCUUUCCCCUCGAAUUUUACCAAGUGUUACUUGAUUAAAGCGAACGAAGGCAGUUCGGCUAACCCCUUCUCGCGAUUUGAUCAAGUUAACUUGUAAAAAUUAAUGGACAAGCUCGGAGCAUCGUAAAGCUCGGCUAGCUUUCCC
This 421-nucleotide long non-coding RNA is filed under the name Actinidia chinensis (golden kiwifruit). RNAcentral describes it as "long non-coding RNA (ACHI_LNC001412)". Lineage: Eukaryota; Viridiplantae; Streptophyta; Magnoliopsida; Ericales; Actinidiaceae. The record is from RNAcentral.